GGUAAUACCGGCAGCUCAAGUGGUCGUCGCUUUUAUUGGGCCUAAAACGUCCGUAGCCUGUUUGGUAAAUCUGUGGGUAAAUCAACYMGCUYAACKRGUUGAAUUCUGCAGAGACUGCCAGACUAGGGACCGGGAGAGGUGUGGGGUACUCKAGGGGUAGGGGUAAAAUCCUGUCAUCCUUMGAGGACCACCAGUUGCGAAGGCGCCACACUGGAACGGAUCCGACGGUCAGGGACGAAGCCUAGGGGCACGAACCGGAUUAGAUACCCGGGUAGUCCUAGGUGUAAACGCUGUGAACUUGGUGUCGGGRGUCCGCAAKGGGYCCCCGGUGCCGGAGUGAAGAUGUUAAGUUCACUGCCUGGGGAGUACGGUCGCAAGGCUGAGGUAAUACCGGCAGCUCAAGUGGUCGUCGCUUUUAUUGGGCCUAAAACGUCCGUAGCCUGUUUGGUAAAUCUGUGGGUAAAUCAACYMGCUYAACKRGUUGAAUUCUGCAGAGACUGCCAGACUAGGGACCGGGAGAGGUGUGGGGUACUCKAGGGGUAGGGGUAAAAUCCUGUCAUCCUUMGAGGACCACCAGUUGCGAAGGCGCCACACUGGAACGGAUCCGACGGUCAGGGACGAAGCCUAGGGGCACGAACCGGAUUAGAUACCCGGGUAGUCCUAGGUGUAAACGCUGUGAACUUGGUGUCGGGRGUCCGCAAKGGGYCCCCGGUGCCGGAGUGAAGAUGUUAAGUUCACUGCCUGGGGAGUACGGUCGCAAGGCUGA
This 766-nucleotide ribosomal RNA is filed under the name uncultured euryarchaeote. Its description in RNAcentral is "partial 16S ribosomal RNA". The stretch from base 1 to 473 matches the Rfam family "Archaeal small subunit ribosomal RNA", at positions 469 to 1477 of the family's 1478-position model. Lineage: Archaea; Methanobacteriati; Methanobacteriota. The record is from RNAcentral.